ACUUGCAGCCUGCACUGCUGGGAGCCUCUGUGCUCCAAGGUGAUUUGAAGAAGGGCUCUUAUUUUUUAUAGUGCUCCUGUAUUACAUUUGAUUUCUUUCCCCUCACCCUGCACAAGAGCUGGGGCGGGGGGAAUAACAACUGACACCUUAAUGUACUUGAUGAUCAAUGCCAGUGUAAGACCAGUGCUAAGGCUAUCCUGUUUUGGAACAAAGUCAGGAAGCUGGAAGCUAAGAAUGAUGCCUUGCAAUUUUGUGCAAAUUGUGCUUGCUUAUGACCAGCCCUCCAUUCCCCACCCCACACUUUUUCUUGCUCUUACAGGGCCAAAUCCAGAUGAUGAGGAUGGAGUGCUUGGAACCAGAAAAAGUCUACAUUGACCUGGUCCUGUAGUACUUUAUAGAGCACAAUAACUGUAAUGUAUUGCAUGGGGAAUCUUCCUGGAAGUUGACCUGUUUGUUGAUUACAUCCAUUGCUGGCAGGAUGUUAAAGAGUGGGAAGGGACCCUCUUCUAGCAUCCUUCGCCAUCUUUAUCUGGCUCACCACAGAGGAAGGGUUAUUGUUUUUUGCAGCACUACAGUAGGACUAAAGGACAUGAUACUUUAUUAUUCUGUAUUUGGACCCAAAAGAUAAAUAGCAAGAAACUGACACCACAGCAAAUUAGGAGACUACAAAGAAGAAAGGAGAUGAAGUGCAUUAUCAGACCAGUCUCAAAGUUUGAUAAGGUGGCAUGCUUGCAGCGAGAAGUCAAACACAGCUUCCCUCCUGAGAAUGAUCAGAAAUCUGGAAAGUGGAAAUUUGCUUGCUGGGAACCAUCAUUUCUGAUCUAAUGGAGGUUGGCUAUGAUAUAAUUCCUGUUACAGAGCAAUUGAUCAAACUAUGUAUUGGUAGUCACCUCAGCUGUACUUCCUGUGAGCAGAAAUUACUUGCAAAGUUUUGUAUAAAGGAGAACAAAGCUCAGCAGGUUAGUUCAAAUGAAAUGUUGUCAGAGGUCAGCACUUUCUCCAGCAGGAGCUAUCCAAACAUUCACAUUGUAAUUUCCAUUCUCCAUUCUGUUUCUCAAAUGUCGCAACAGAGAAUUGCUUCUGUGAGGUGAAUGAAGAAGAGCCAGAAUGGAGCAAAAGAUCAUCAGUGCAUUUGUACAUGUACACCUUCUCUUCCCAAGCAAUGAAUACUAUAUAGAUAGUUUUUACUGGCAUCCUGAAAGCAUUUAUUUUGAUUAUUCCUGGUGCCACAAUGCAUUUGGAAUGUGAAAAUACUGCUGUGUCUUUAAGUAAGGCUGUUUGAGCAGAUAGGCAUGAAGACAAUCUAGUGUAGAAUGUUUGCUAAUAUCCAACCAUUACUAUAAAUUAUUGUCAUGUAAAAUGUCUUAGGAAAGAGGAUCUUUAGCAGGGAUGGACACAUCUGUCAAUGUUGGUUUCUCUUAUUUUCUCAUUUUUCAAAUCUUAAGUCUGUCUCAUUUCUGCAUCAGUUUGUGAACACUUUUAAAAUGUCAGCCCCAAAAUUAAUAUACAUUGUGCAUGUUUGCGCUCAUUUUCCACUAAUAUGUGUUUUGUUUUGGGUAUUUUUGUGUACAUCUGGGUGGACAGCUAUAUCACAAAAUUCAGAGAAAUGUGGAUUUUGAAGGAGAACUGAAUUUUGGUUCACAUAUUGAUUUGGUAAGUACAAAGCAGGUGAGUUUUCAUUAAAAUGUGAACUCAAAAAAAUUGUUCCCUCAUUGCUAGUUUUAGUAAAAUUGAGCCAAAUAUGCACCCCUUUCAGAGAGAUGAUUCAUCUCCUGCAAAUAUUGGAUCUUUUUUGCACAGUUACAAAAGUGGUAAAAUGUUGCUGUUAUCCUUUCUACCCAUCAACACUCAGCACCUGGGCAGAUGGUCACUCAAGUCACCAGGUUACACUUCCACACAACUCUGGGAUGUAUUUAUAUGUAAAUUAUAGUAAUUAUUUUAGCAUUUGCUUUCCCACAAAUAAAUUAGCAUAUGCAUAUUUUAUGUAAAUCUGUGUCCACUUUCGUCUUCUAUUUUGGUGGCCCCCCUUCUAACUAUGACUUUCCUGCUGAAUCAGA
Molecule: long non-coding RNA, 2057 nt
Organism: Podarcis raffonei (Aeolian wall lizard)
Lineage: Eukaryota; Metazoa; Chordata; Lepidosauria; Squamata; Lacertidae
Exons: 3
Source: RefSeq, a predicted model, not a curated record